AGGGAACACUAAUACCGCAUACGUCCUACGGAAGAAAGGGGGGGAGCUUCGGACCUUGCGCUAUCGGAGGAGCCUAUGCCGAAUUAGCUAGUUGGUGAGGGAAGGGCUGACCCAGGCGACGAUCCGUACCUGGUCUGAGAGGAAGAACAACCACACUGGCACUGAGACACAGACCAGACUCAUACGGGAGGCAGCAGUGGGGAAUUUUGAACGAUGGGCGAGAGCCUGAUCCAGCCAUGCCGCGUGUGUGAAUAAGGACUUCGGAUUGUAAAUCACUUUUAUUUGGAAGGAAGGACAGCGCCCUAGUACCUAGCGGUGAUGACGGUACCGACACAAUAAGCACCGGCUAACUCUGUGCCAGCAGCCGCGGUAAUACAUAGGGUGCGAGCGUUAGUCGGAAUUACUGGGCGUAAAGCGCGCGCACGCGGUCUGUUAAUAUGGAUGUAAAUGCCACGGGCUCAACCUGGGAGCUGCAUCCGUAACUGGCAGGCUAGAGUAAGGCAGAUGGAGGUGGAAU
This 517-nucleotide ribosomal RNA is filed under the name soil bacterium Mafe-S3F-M1LLLSSL-2. Its description in RNAcentral is "bacterial SSU rRNA". It matches the Rfam family "Bacterial small subunit ribosomal RNA", at positions 155 to 667 of the family's 1533-position model. The record is from RNAcentral.